Non-coding RNA from Acanthosepion pharaonis, 99 nucleotides. The record is from the annotation of a GenBank genome assembly. NCBI's taxonomy places the organism in Eukaryota, Metazoa, Mollusca, Cephalopoda, Sepiida, Sepiidae.
GUUGAAAUACCGAUUCCCGUACGAUCACCGAAGUUAAGCAACAUCUAGUCUGGUCGGUACCUAGAUGGGUGACCGCUUGGAAAUGACAGAUGUUGUAAG